This 82-nucleotide transfer RNA is filed under the name Ophiocordyceps sinensis. It matches the Rfam family "tRNA". From Rfam's summary of the family: Transfer RNA (tRNA) molecules are approximately 80 nucleotides in length. Their secondary structure includes four short double-helical elements and three loops (D, anti-codon, and T loops). RNAcentral also lists the same sequence under 1 other name. The record is from Rfam by way of RNAcentral. Lineage: Eukaryota; Fungi; Ascomycota; Sordariomycetes; Hypocreales; Ophiocordycipitaceae.
GCCCGGUUAGCUCAAUUGGAUAGAGCGUGAGACUCUUACAAACGUAAUCUCAAGGUUGCGGGUUCGACCCCCGCAUUGGGCU